CCUAAUUCCUCCUGUAAGUCUCUCUGGAUAAGAGUGUCUGCUAAAUGACAAAAA
Molecule: non-coding RNA, 54 nt
Organism: Salmo salar (Atlantic salmon)
Lineage: Eukaryota; Metazoa; Chordata; Actinopteri; Salmoniformes; Salmonidae
Source: Rfam